This is a long non-coding RNA of Triticum aestivum (bread wheat), 2531 nucleotides long. RefSeq lists it as uncharacterized. The transcript is spliced from 4 exons. Lineage: Eukaryota; Viridiplantae; Streptophyta; Magnoliopsida; Poales; Poaceae. The record is from RefSeq and is a predicted model, not a curated record.
UCUCCCUUCCCUCUCUCUGCUCUCACGUCUCUCUCUCCCUCGCCUCUCUCACGCCGCCGUCGACAUGAGGAGCGCAAUGCGCCGUCUCCGCCCCGUGUUCUUCCUCUGUCCUCCCUUUCUCCAGCCCAAGCCACGACCACACCGCCGCGCCCGCCUUCUCCUCAUUGGGAACAAGCAGAGGAGGAGGAGCGUGGGCCGCAGAGACGACGAGGUGGCCGAGCUGCCCGUGGUGUCGUCGCCGUUCCUCAUGACUCAGCGGGCCGGAGGUGUGCCGGCCGCAGGAGGAGUGCGCGCUGGGGAUGUGGCGGGCCAAGGGUCGCUCGCCAGCGCCGCCCGCUGACCGUCAGAUCCGAGUGCAGCCUCUUCGACGACCUCCCGUGCACGCCACCGCUGGCGACGGUGAGGACCUCGCCCUCUGUUCCCCGGGGCCGUCCACUAUGCACCGUCAGUUCGACCAAGGAGCGACAGAGGCAGAGGCGCAGGGCGACCAGCGCCCCACGCAGGCACUAGAUGCGGCGCUCCUCCGUCUCUCCUCCUUCUGCGUCUGCUGCAGGAGACGAACAUACGUUGCUGGUCGCCGGCUUGGCCUGCAAGAGGAUGCUCUCCUGCUCUAACUUGCUCACAUGUUAGUGUUUCACCAAUGAAGAUGUAUAUUCAAGCCUCUGUCUUCAUAAACAACAACUCGUCCUCCCUUCCCCUUGGGACGUGCUGUUUGUGGAGAAGUCUGAGGUGAGACGCUAUGUGCCCAAAUUUCCUUUUUUUUGUGUCAAUUAUUAGGUGCCACGUCCCUGUUCUUUCCUAGGCAUGAAUGGUUGUUUCAGUGAUUUGUAGAGAACUCUCAGGUCAACAAGUAAUUGUGUUGUUUACGAAGAUGUAGACUUGCAGUUGCUGGUAGCUUCACUAGCCGAACAUACUUUUUAAUCAGUCUUUUUGAAGCCCCUCCGGUAAGAUCUUUUAGAUUUGAAGUGAUUAAACUUUGGUAAUGAAACCAAGUACUACCUUGACAUACUUGACUCUUUAAUUUGGCUUAGCUUCAAAUGAAGUGGAUGAUAUACAUGAAUACAUGAUGCUUAGCUGUUGGUCGUCUGUGGUGUGCCACUGCAACUCAUAGAGGGGAGGAAGGUGAGGCGGAUAGGGAGAUGGAUUUGGGAAGAACAAAGGAUGCCAUAUAGUUUGUUUUGGAUCUGAUGCCACCGUUCUGUUUUGUUAUUAAGUAGAGGUAGCAAGGGAGAUGGAUAGGGAAGAACAAAGGGUGUUAUUUAUGACAGGCACUGGAAUAUAAAUAGUAUGAUGCUAUCAGGAGACGUAGCAGAAUCCAUAGAAACUUAAUGAAAUAGUUAAAAUAUCAUGAUGCCAGUGUCACCCAGGAUGAUAGUGCACAGUGAUUCUUACAGUAAACUGAUAUGUGGUGCAAGGGAUCAUACAUAGCUGCAAGGGCACCAUAAAUGCCUUUUAGAGAUUAUUAUUGGAAACUACAGAUUCUUUGUACCAAUUAAUUAUUUUAAACAGCCAGUCCCAGUCGUCUACAAGAUCCUACUGUAUUUGAUAUAUUUAUCAUGGUUUGUAAAUGUGCCCUCAGAUCGUAUUUCCUAUGUUGGUAAUGCAGAUUCUGACUCGGGAAGUGAUUCUGAAAGCGAAUCAGAGAAGGUCGGCAGCGCAGCAAGACUUGCGAAGGUGCUUUGGCAAUUUUUUACUGGGUGAUCCUUCGGUUAAGGUAACUGAAGAUAGUUUACUGUUGAGUGAGCCCUUUAUAUUCUGGCGGAGUUACUGAGAAAGGAGGUAAAUGAAGCGCCAACUAUUACCAGCAAAAAUCAAUGUGGAGUUGCAGUUCCAUGCUGUCGUCAUCAUUCAGGGAUGGAUGACGAGCAGCUGAGUUUGCUGCCAUUGGAUUCAUUAAACGGGAGGUCAAUAUGGUUGGCUUCUGCACUAUGGACUUUGCAAAGGUAUAGUAGAUGUACUGAUAGUCUGAUACAUUUCUUCAACCUCGGCGCUUUACACGUUCGUUGUUUACUUCGAUUGAUGGCAGUUCAUUUUUUUUUGACUUGGUGAACGUUCUCAUGGAACUGAAAGUUUCCAUAAAAGAUGGAUAUCUUCACUUCAUGCCUUACUUCUCUUGCAUAGAUUGGAUACUAAUUUUCAGGUGUUCAGGGAAAUAUUUUUGAACUGGUAUAUUUAUAUUUGUUUGUAGCAUACUAAGUUAAUCUAACUUGGCUUUACUUUAGCCUGCAUAAAGUUGGUAAAUGACAGUCUUUGCUUUAAUUUUCCUGAUUCAGAGGCAGGAACUAUCAUAUGAUGAUAUUCUCCUCAUAUUAUUUUCUUUGUUCUCCCUAAUUUUAAUGCACUACAGAAGGUUGGUUGUCUCCUCACAGAUUUUCAGACUGUUGAUGGGCAAAACGUUUCUAUGGAACACAAUUAUUACAACACCAAGAUCAGAUGCUCGGAUAGUUCUUGCUAUUGCUUCUUUAGGGGUCACACCUUUGCUAUUGCUUCAAGUUACCUAUAUAAAUUUGUGGUGAUACCCGAUGUUCUAU